CCCUUAGAUGUUCUGGGCCGCACGCGCGCUACACUGAUGCAUUCAACGAGUCUAAAACCUGCUCUGAUAGGGGUGGGUAAUCUUUUGAAUGUGCAUCGUGAUUGGGAUAGAUGAUUGCAAUUUUUCAUCUUCAACGAGGAAUGCCUAGUAAACGCAAGUCAUCAGCUUGCAUUGAUUACGUCCCUGCCCUUUGUACACACCGCCCUCGCUCCUGCCGAUUGAAUGAUCCGAUGAAUAUCAUGGAUUGAGGAUGCAAGCAGGUUCGCCUGUCUUCAUCUUCGAGAAGUGAAGUAAAUCUUAUCAUUUAGAGGAAGGAGAAGUCGUAACA
This 328-nucleotide ribosomal RNA is filed under the name uncultured eukaryote. Its description in RNAcentral is "partial 18S ribosomal RNA". It matches the Rfam family "Eukaryotic small subunit ribosomal RNA", at positions 1470 to 1796 of the family's 1831-position model. The record is from RNAcentral.